RNAcentral lists this ribosomal RNA (274 nucleotides) under uncultured bacterium. RNAcentral's name for it is "partial 16S ribosomal RNA". It matches the Rfam family "Bacterial small subunit ribosomal RNA", at positions 523 to 796 of the family's 1533-position model. The record is from RNAcentral.
AUACGGAGGGUGCGAGCGUUAAUCGGAAUUACUGGGCGUAAAGCGUACGUAGGCGGUUGGUUAAGUUAGAUGUGAAAGCCCCGGGCUCAACCUGGGAACUGCAUUUAAAACUGGCGAACUAGAGUUGAGUAGAGGGGAGUGGAAUUUCAGGUGUAGCGGUGAAAUGCGUAGAGAUCUGAAGGAACACCAGUGGCGAAGGCGACUCCCUGGACUCGAACUGACGCUGAGGUACGAAAGCGUGGGUAGCAAACGGGAUUAGAUACCCUAGUAGUCC